AAGCUCCGGCGCCUUUGGAUCGGGGAAUGCGCUAUCAGGUUGUUGGUGAGGUAACGGCUCACCAAGCCAGAGACGGCUAGCGGGUGUGAGAGCAUGACCCGCCGCAUCGGAACUGAGACACUGUCCGGACUCCUACGGGAGGCUGCAGCGACGAAUCUUCCGCAAUGUACGCAAGUAUGACGGAGCAAUGCCGCGUGCAGGAUGAAGCCCCUCGGGGUGUAAACUGCUGUCAGGGUCUAGGAAGAUCUGACCGGACCCAAAGGAAGGACCGGCUAAGUUCGUGCCAGCAGCCGCGGUAAUACGAACGGUCCGAGCGUUGAGCGGAUUCACUGGGCUUAAAGGGUGCGUAGGCGGACAUGCAAGUGUCUUGUGAAAUCCCACGGCUCAACCGUGGAAUUGCGGGGCAAACUGUGUGUCUUGAGGUCGGUAGGGGUUGCCGGAACUCUAGGUGUAAGCGGUGAAAUGCGUAGAUAUCUAGAGGAACACCAAUGGCGAAGGCAGGCAACUGGGCCGAUUCUGACGCUGAGGCACGAAAGCGUGGGGAGCAAACCGGAUUAGAUACCCUGGUAGUCCACGCCGUAAACGUUGUGCACUAAAUCCCGGAGGUUCUGGACCCCAUCGGGGUCGAAAGUAACAAGCGUUAAGGUUGCACCGCUUGGGGAGUACGGUCGCCAGGAUUAAAACUCAAAGGAAUUGACGGGGGCUCACACAAGCGGUGGAGCUAUGUGGCUUAAUUCGAGGCAACGCGAAGAACCGUAUCCUGGGUCUUACUAUGUAAGGAUUAGCUCUGUGAAAGCGGAGUGACGCGGCUUGCCGUGGAACUUGUACUAGUGCUGCUAUGGCUGUCGUCAGCUCGUGCUGUGAAGUGUCGGGUUAAGU
RNAcentral lists this ribosomal RNA (879 nucleotides) under uncultured organism. RNAcentral's name for it is "bacterial SSU rRNA". It matches the Rfam family "Bacterial small subunit ribosomal RNA", at positions 202 to 1085 of the family's 1533-position model. The record is from RNAcentral.